This 465-nucleotide ribosomal RNA is filed under the name Vreelandella stevensii. RNAcentral describes it as "partial 16S ribosomal RNA". It matches the Rfam family "Bacterial small subunit ribosomal RNA", at positions 338 to 795 of the family's 1533-position model. Lineage: Bacteria; Pseudomonadati; Pseudomonadota; Gammaproteobacteria; Oceanospirillales; Halomonadaceae. The record is from RNAcentral.
CCUACGGGCGGCAGCAGUGGGGAAUAUUGGACAAUGGGCGAAAGCCUGAUCCAGCCAUGCCGCGUGUGUGAAGAAGGCCUUCGGGUUGUAAAGCACUUUCAGUGGGGAAGAAAGCCUUGGGGCUAAUACCCUCGAGGAAGGACAUCACCCACAGAAGAAGCACCGGCUAACUCCGUGCCAGCAGCCGCGGUAAUACGGAGGGUGCGAGCGUUAAUCGGAAUUACUGGGCGUAAAGCGCGCGUAGGCGGUCUGAUAAGCCGGUUGUGAAAGCCCCGGGCUCAACCUGGGAAUGGCAUCCGGAACUGUCAGGCUAGAGUGCAGGAGAGGAAGGUAGAAUUCCCGGUGUAGCGGUGAAAUGCGUAGAGAUCGGGAGGAAUACCAGUGGCGAAGGCGGCCUUCUGGACUGACACUGACGCUGAGGUGCGAAAGCGUGGGUAGCAAACAGGAUUAGAUACCCUAGUAGUC